CUCACCGUCAGGUCCUGCCGCAGGGAUUUCAGCUGCUCGCAGGCCCAGGCGUAGUCGCGGUGCUGCUGCCAGUGCGAGCGCACCAGGGCCAGCGCCUGCCGCAGCACCUGCGGAUUUUGGGGCGUUUUGGGGCGUUUUGGGCCUUUUCGGAGCAUUUCGGGGGUUUCAAGGAGGAUUUUGGGGGUUUUGGGGUGGAUUUUGGGGGCUUUGGGGUGGAUUUUGGGGGUUUUGGGGUGGAUUUUGGGGGAUUUUUCUGUGGAUUUUGGGGGGUUUUUAUGUGGAUUUUGGGGGGUUCCGUGGCAGAUUUUGGGGUUUUUGGGGUGAUGUUUUUGGGGUGGAUUUUGGGGUGAAUUUCGGUGGUUUUGGGGUCACUCACCGGCACGGGUCUCACAGUACUGGGAUCAGGAUUAUUUCGUCAUAUUUUUGGUGGAUUUUGGGGUAUUUUGGGACGUUUUGGACACUCACCGGCACGGGUCACAUGGUACUGGGAUCAGGGAUAUUUUGGGGGUGGAUAUCAGAGUUUUUGGGAUAUUUUGGGAUGGAUUUUGGGAUAUUUUGGGACAUUUUGGGUUAUUUUUGGGUGGAUUUUGGGUGGAUUUUGGGAUAUUUUGGGAUGUUUUGGCUCGCUCACCGGCACGGGUCUGACGGUGCUGGGAUCGGGGUUAUUUUUGGGUGGAUUUUGGGAUAUUUUGGGACAUUUUGUGAUAUUUUUGGGUGGAUUUUGGGUUAUUUUUGGGUGGAUUUUGGGUGGAUUUUGGGAUAUUUUGGCACAUUUUGGGGUGAAUUUCGCAGUUUUUGGCUCGCUCACCGGCACGGGUCUGACGGUGCUGGGAUCGGGGUUAUUUUUGGGUGGAUUUUGGGAUAUUUUGGGGUGGAUUUUGGGGUGAAUUUCUGUGUUUUUGGCUCGCUCACCGGCACGGGUCUGACGGUGCUGGGAUCGGGGUUAUUUUUGGGUGGAUUUUGGGAUAUUUUGGCACGUUUUGGCUCGCUCACCGGCACGGGUCUGACGGUGCUGGGAUCGGGGUUA
This 1027-nucleotide long non-coding RNA is filed under the name Lonchura striata (white-rumped munia). Its description in RNAcentral is "domestica (Bengalese finch) lncRNA (ENSLSDG00000011262.1)". The record is from RNAcentral. Lineage: Eukaryota; Metazoa; Chordata; Aves; Passeriformes; Estrildidae.